RNAcentral lists this ribosomal RNA (449 nucleotides) under uncultured bacterium. Its description in RNAcentral is "partial 16S ribosomal RNA". It matches the Rfam family "Bacterial small subunit ribosomal RNA", at positions 354 to 795 of the family's 1533-position model. The record is from RNAcentral.
GUGGGGAAUAUUGGACAAUGGGCGAAAGCCUGAUCCAGCCAUGCCGCGUGUGUGAAGAAGGUCUUCGGAUUGUAAAGCACUUUAAGUUGGGAGGAAGGGCAGUAAGUUAAUACCUUGCUGUUUUGACGUUACCGACAGAAUAAGCACCGGCUAACUUCGUGCCAGCAGCCGCGGUAAUACGAAGGGUGCAAGCGUUAAUCGGAAUUACUGGGCGUAAAGCGCGCGUAGGUGGUUUUGUAAGUUGGAGGUGAAAUCCCCGGGCUCAACCUGGGAACUGCCUCCAAAACUGCAUGACUAGAGUACGGUAGAGGGUAGUGGAAUUUCCUGUGUAGCGGUGAAAUGCGUAGAUAUAGGAAGGAACACCAGUGGCGAAGGCGACUACCUGGACUGAUACUGACACUGAGGUGCGAAAGCGUGGGGAGCAAACAGGAUUAGAUACCCGAGUAGUC